Molecule: ribosomal RNA, 492 nt
Filed under: uncultured bacterium
Lineage: Bacteria
Description: partial 16S ribosomal RNA
Rfam family: Bacterial small subunit ribosomal RNA
Source: RNAcentral
AGUGAACGCUGGCGGUAGGCCUAACACAUGCUAGUCGAACGGCAGCACAGUAAGAGCUUGCUCUUACGGGUGGCGAGUGGCGGACGGGUGAGGAAUACAUCGGAAUCUACUUUUUCGUGGGGGAUAACGUAGGGAAACUUACGCUAAUACCGCAUACGACCUACGGGUGAAAGCAGUGGAUCUUCGGACCUUGCGCGAUUGAAUGAGCCGAUGUCGGAUUAGCUAGUUGGCGAGGUAAAGGCCCACCAAGGCGACGAUCCGUAGCUGGUCUGAGAGGAUGAUCAGCCACACUGGAACUGAGACACGGUCCAGACUCCUACGGGAGGCAGCAGUGGGGAAUAUUGGACAAUGGGCGCAAGCCUGAUCCAGCCAUACCGCGUGGGUGAAGAAGGCCUUCGGGUUGUAAAGCCCUUUUGUUGGGAAAGAAAAGCAGCAGGUUAAUACCCCGCUGUUCUGACGGUACCCAAAGAAUAAGCACCGGCUAACUUCGUG